UUUAAUGGAAACCUAGCACACACUUACUUCAUUUCGGGUUAUUAAAUUGCGUGAAGCGUUCAAGUUAGUUGCCAUUCUUUGCUGUAGCUCAUUUGUUCUUUUCGAUCCAAAGAACUAUUAGAUGGUUAAAACUCAUCACAUAGGAGGGAUUAAUCAUGCUCCCAAAAUUAGAAAACAUGUUGUUCUGAGAGACUGAAUGUCAAAAUUGUAUACUCAUAAUGCUUAAACGAUUGGGACUCGAGGAUCCCACUACAAUAUUUAAAAUGGCAGCUAAGGAAACCCUGAAGUGUUUAGGAGCGGGCUAAAGCUAGAGUUCUCUUACUCUUUGAUUACGGGCACCACUUUCAGAUAAAAACAUAGACCUGAAUGGCAUCAUCCAGUAUCCAAGGAAACCAUCUGAAUUAUCCCAUGGAUUCGCAAUACAAAAGGUGGUAUUCUCAAGACAGUGGAGCAUCCAGAGACAUUAGACUCAUCCAUCUUGGAAGACCCCACCCUGCCCCCUUCGCUUUAGCUGCUUGUGGAUUGUGCCUCUGA
This 534-nucleotide long non-coding RNA is filed under the name Capra hircus (goat). Its description in RNAcentral is "lncRNA (ENSCHIG00000006944.1)". Lineage: Eukaryota; Metazoa; Chordata; Mammalia; Artiodactyla; Bovidae. The record is from RNAcentral.